Molecule: ribosomal RNA, 425 nt
Filed under: uncultured bacterium
Lineage: Bacteria
Description: partial 16S ribosomal RNA
Rfam family: Bacterial small subunit ribosomal RNA
Source: RNAcentral
GUGGGGAAUCUUAGACAAUGGGGGCAACCCUGAUCUAGCCAUGCCGCGUGAUCGAUGAAGGCCUUAGGGUUGUAAAGAUCUUUCAGCUGGGAAGAUAAUGACGGUACCAGCAGAAGAAGCCCCGGCUAACUCCGUGCCAGCAGCCGCGGUAAUACGGAGGGGGCUAGCGUUGUUCGGAAUUACUGGGCGUAAAGCGCACGUAGGCGGACUGGAAAGUCAGGGGUGAAAUCCCGGGGCUCAACCCCGGAACUGCCUUUGAAACUCCCAGUCUUGAGUUCGAGAGAGGUGAGUGGAAUGCCGAGUGUAGAGGUGAAAUUCGUAGAUAUUCGGAGGAACACCAGUGGCGAAGGCGGCUCACUGGCUCGAUACUGACGCUGAGGUGCGAAAGCGUGGGGAGCAAACAGGAUUAGAAACCCCGGUAGUCC